RNAcentral lists this transfer RNA (65 nucleotides) under Sarcophaga tsinanensis. Its description in RNAcentral is "tRNA-Gly". Lineage: Eukaryota; Metazoa; Arthropoda; Insecta; Diptera; Sarcophagidae. The record is from RNAcentral.
AUCUAUAUAGUAUAAAAAGUAUAUUUGACUUCCAAUCAUAAGGUCUAUUAUUAAUAGCAUAGAUA